RNAcentral lists this ribosomal RNA (305 nucleotides) under uncultured bacterium. Its description in RNAcentral is "bacterial SSU rRNA". It matches the Rfam family "Bacterial small subunit ribosomal RNA", at positions 337 to 635 of the family's 1533-position model. The record is from RNAcentral.
UCCUACGGGGGGCAGCAGUAGGGAAUUUUCGUCAAUGGGCGCAAGCCUGAACGAGCAAUGCCGCGUGAACGAGGAAGGUCUUCGGAUCGUAAAGUUCUGUUGAAGGGGAAAAAGAGCGGAGAGAGGAAAUGGUCUCCGAUUGAUAUUACCCUUCGAGGAAGUCACGGCUAACUACGCGCCAGCAGCCGCGGUAAUACGUAGGUGGCGAGCGUUAUCCGGAAUGAUUGGGCGUAAAGGGUGCGUAGGCGGCCUGCUAAGUCUGGAGUGAAAGGUACCGGCUCAACCGGUACAGGCUCUGGAAACUG